CCUACGGGAGGCAGCAGUUAGGAAUAUUGGACAAUGGGCGAAAGCCUGAUCCAGCCAUGCCGCGUGUGUGAUGAAGGCCCUAGGGUUGUAAAGCACUUUCGUUGGGGAUGAUAAUGACCGUACCCAAAGAAGAAGCACCGGCUAACUUCGUGCCAGCAGCCGCGGUAAUACGAAGGGUGCAAGCGUUGUUCGGAAUCACUGGGCGUAAAGAAUGCGUAGGCGGCUUAACAAGUCGGGAGUGAAAUCCCAGGGCUCAACCCUGGAACUGCUCUCGAGACUGUUUUGCUAGAGUCCCGGAGGGGUUAGCGGAAUUCCGAGUGUAGAGGUGAAAUUCGCAGAUAUUCGGAGGAACACCAGUGGCGAAGGCGGCUAACUGGACGGGAACUGACGCUGAGGCAUGAAAGUGUGGGGAUCAAACAGGAUUAGAUACCCUGGUAGUCCACACCGUAAACGAUGUGUGNUAGUGUCGGCGAGCUUGUCUGUUCGGUGGUACGGAGUCGUUAACGUUUAAGUACACACCGCCGUCGGAGGUACGGCCGCCGAACGGUUAAACGUAACGAAAGUAGAAGUUAGACGGUCGUGUAGACGUUAGUCCGAACGGACGACGACGAGGGAGGAGG
Molecule: ribosomal RNA, 620 nt
Filed under: uncultured bacterium
Lineage: Bacteria
Description: bacterial SSU rRNA
Rfam family: Bacterial small subunit ribosomal RNA (bases 1-523)
Source: RNAcentral